UGGUGAGAUAUAAUGUAUGUGUGUGUAUCUCUACAGGUAUGUCAUAUGGCUCACCUGUAGAUGAAAGACUAAAGCCAGGUAAGACUUCAGUGGAUUUGACUUUUCCUAUGUGUCCAGGGCAACAUUUCGUCGGCUAAAGUGGGGCCGGAGAGCAGAGGAUUGUUCUGUGUGUCCUGCUGGCUACUUCUGUCCUCAUCCGGCCACAAUCAAUCCAAAGUUUGUGGAACAGGAAGUUUUUCUGUAAGCCGGAUAGCUAAUUCUAUUCUAAUGCAUGUUGUACCAUUGUAAUAAAUUAUUUCACCAUUUCAUUGAUCUGUCUCCCUCUCUUCUGGCUCUCUGUCUUGCUCUUUUUCGUUAGGAUGAGGGGUCAUUGGAGUGUCAGCCAUGUUUGCCGGGUCACUACUGCAGCAAUGAGACCACCAGUGAAGAGGCCAUGCUCAGAGUAAUGGUCUGCCCCCCAGGUUUCCUCUGCUCACAGGGCCUGGAUCGAGAACCCCAGCGCUCAGCGGUAUUCUGCCCAAUAGGCUUUUACUGUCCUGAUGGAAGUGUUGUAAGUAUCAUUUCAAGGGUCAGAAACAUUACGAACAUCAUUGAUCAUCAUGUCAGAUGAUCAAUGGCACGAAACAUAGCAAUUAUUUCUUUUCUAUUAUUUAUGCCCUACUCAGGAUCCUAAUCCUGUUCCGUGCCCCAAAGGAACCUAUAGUCUACAGCCAAGACUACGUGACCCUUCAGACUGCACAGAGUGUCCAGAGGGCAAAUACUGUUACACAGAGAAUCCCCAGGAAGAGCCCAUUAACCCCCCGACCACCACCACCACCACCAAAAAAAAAAAAAAAAAAUACAAUGUAAUGUAUGCAGUGUAAUGAAUGGUGACCACAGAUUUGUUAGGUCCCCAUCCACUUUCAUAGCAUGGAAAAAAGCAGUUUGGGGUGCACUUUCUCUUUGACUUGUUUAUUGUUCCAAUCAGACAGGAAACUGUCCUGAUGGAUACUUCUGUCCUCCUAGCACCAGACAUCCAAAUUCAUUUCCAUGCCAGUCUGGCUUCUUCAGGAAUGACUCGUAUGGACAAACUUGUGUGGAAUGUCCUCCUGGUCACUACUGUUCCACUCUGGCCACACACACUCUUACAGUCUGUCCACAGGUUCUUCCUGAUGGUCAUGAAGGUGGUGUGUGUCCUGCUGGAAGUUUCUGCCCACCAGGCUCAGCUCACCCACAGUCCUGCCCUUCAGGGACCUACAGUAACAGCACGGGUCUUCAACAUGCAGGGCAGUGUGUCCGCUGUCCUCCAGUGGUAUGACUGCAAGAGCAAUAAUGUAUUUCUUCUGUGGAACACAAGAGAAGAUAUUUUGAAGAAUGCUAGCAACCAAACUGUUUUGGUUGCCAUUGACUUCCACAGUAUUGACAAAAAAGAGAAAUUUUUCAAACAGGUUUGA
Long non-coding RNA from Cyprinus carpio (common carp), 1433 nucleotides. The record is from Ensembl. Lineage: Eukaryota; Metazoa; Chordata; Actinopteri; Cypriniformes; Cyprinidae.